Molecule: ribosomal RNA, 407 nt
Filed under: uncultured bacterium
Lineage: Bacteria
Description: bacterial SSU rRNA
Rfam family: Bacterial small subunit ribosomal RNA
Source: RNAcentral
UUGGUCAAUGGGCGCAAGCCUGAACCAGCCAUCCCGCGUGCAGGAAGACGGCGCUAUGCGUUGUAAACUGCUUUUCCAGGGAGAGAAACUUGCGCACGGGUUGCGCAAUUGACGGUACCCUGGGAAUAAGCAUCGGCUAACUCCGUGCCAGCAGCCGCGGUAAUACGGAGGAUGCGAGCGUUAUCCGGAUUCAUUGGGUUUAAAGGGUGCGUAGGCGGACUAUUAAGUCAGUGGUGAAAUCCUGCAGCUUAACUGCAGAACUGCCAUUGAUACUGAUAGCCUUGAGUUUGGGUGAGGUAGGCGGAAUGUGUAAUGUAGCGGUGAAAUGCUUAGAUAUUACGCAGAACACCAAUUGCGUAGGCAGCUUACUGGGCCGACACUGACGCUGAGGCACGAAAGCGUGGGGA